RNAcentral lists this ribosomal RNA (399 nucleotides) under uncultured bacterium. RNAcentral describes it as "bacterial SSU rRNA". It matches the Rfam family "Bacterial small subunit ribosomal RNA", at positions 28 to 432 of the family's 1533-position model. The record is from RNAcentral.
GACGAACGCUGGCGGCGUGCUUAACACAUGCAAGUCGAACGGUAAGGCCCCUUCGGGGGUACGACGAGUGGCGAACGGGUGAGUAACACGUGAGCAACCUGCCCUUGACUCUGGAAUAACAGUUGGAAACAGCUGCUAAUACCGGUUAUGACCUGUCACCGCAUGGUGGUGGGUGGAAAGUUCCGGCGGUCAGGGAUGGGCUCGCGGCCUAUCAGCUUGUUGGUGAGGUAACGGCUCACCAAGGCUUCGACGGGUAGCCGGCCUGAGAGGGCGACCGGCCACACUGGGACUGAGAUACGGCCCAGACUCCUACGGGAGGCAGCAGUGGGGAAUAUUGCACAAUGGCGAAAGCCUGAUGCAGCAACGCCGCGUGCGGGAUGACGGCCUCGGUUGUAACCG